This 431-nucleotide ribosomal RNA is filed under the name uncultured bacterium. RNAcentral describes it as "partial 16S ribosomal RNA". It matches the Rfam family "Bacterial small subunit ribosomal RNA", at positions 29 to 507 of the family's 1533-position model. The record is from RNAcentral.
AGCGAACGCUGGCGGCAGGCUUAACACAUGCAAGUCGAGCGCCCCGCAAGGGGCGCGGCAGACGGGAGAGUAACACGUGGGAACAUACCUUUUGGUUCGGAACAACUGAGGGAAACUUCAGCUAAUACCGGAUAAGCCCUUACGGGGAAAGAUUUAUCGCCGAAAGAUUGGCCCGCGUCUGAUUAGCUAGUUGGUGAGGUAACGGCUCACCAAGGCGACGAUCAGUAGCUGGUCUGAGAGGAUGGUCAGCCUCACUGGGACUGAGACACGGCCCGGACUCCUACGGGAGGGAGGAGUGGGGAAUAUUGGACAAUGGGGGCAACCCUGAUCCAGCCAUGCCGCGUGAGUGAUGAAGGCCUUAGGGUUGUAAAGCUCUUUUGCCCGGGAAGAUAAUGACGGUACCGGGAGAAUAAGCCCCGGCUAACUUCGUG